This 492-nucleotide ribosomal RNA is filed under the name uncultured bacterium. Its description in RNAcentral is "partial 16S ribosomal RNA". It matches the Rfam family "Bacterial small subunit ribosomal RNA", at positions 29 to 507 of the family's 1533-position model. The record is from RNAcentral.
AGUGAACGCUGGCGGUAGGCCUAACACAUGCAAGUCGAACGGCAGCACAGUAAGAGCUUGCUCUUACGGGUUGCGAGUGGCGGACGGGUGAGGAAUACAUCGUAAUCUACUUUUUCGUGUGGGUUAACGUAGGGAAACUUACUCUAAUACCGCAUACGACCUACGGGUGAAAGCAGUGGAUCUUCUGACCUGUCGCGAUUGAAUUAGCCGAUGUCGGAUUAGCUAGUUGGCGGGGUAAAUGCCCACCAAGGCGACGAUCCGUAGCUGGUCUGAGAGGAUGAUCAGCCACACUGGAACUGGGACACGGUCCAGACUCCUACGGGAGGCCGCAGUGGGGAAUAUGGGACAAUGGGCGCAAGCCUGAUCCAGCCAUACCGCGUGGGUGAAGAAGGCCUUCGGGUUGUAAAGCCCUUUUGUUGGGAAAGAAAAGCAGCAGGUUAAUACGCAGCUGUUCUGACGGUACCCAAAGAAUAAGCACCGGCUAACUUCGUG